RNAcentral lists this ribosomal RNA (373 nucleotides) under Staphylococcus aureus. Its description in RNAcentral is "bacterial SSU rRNA". It matches the Rfam family "Bacterial small subunit ribosomal RNA", at positions 1 to 362 of the family's 1533-position model. The record is from RNAcentral. Lineage: Bacteria; Bacillati; Bacillota; Bacilli; Caryophanales; Staphylococcaceae.
UUUUAUGGAGAGUUUGAUCCUGGCUCAGGAUGAACGCUGGCGGCGUGCCUAAUACAUGCAAGUCGAGCGAACGGACGAGAAGCUUGCUUCUCUGAUGUUAGCGGCGGACGGGUGAGUAACACGUGGAUAACCUACCUAUAAGACUGGGAUAACUUCGGGAAACCGGAGCUAAUACCGGAUAAUAUUUUGAACCGCAUGGUUCAAAAGUGAAAGACGGUCUUGCUGUCACUUAUAGAUGGAUCCGCGCUGCAUUAGCUAGUUGGUAAGGUAACGGCUUACCAAGGCAACGAUGCAUAGCCGACCUGAGAGGGUGAUCGGCCACACUGGAACUGAGACACGGUCCAGACUCCUACGGGAGGCAGCAGUAGGGAAU